UGGGGAAUUUUGCACAAUGGGGGAAACCCUGAUGCAGCGACGCCGCGUGAUUUAGAAGGCCUUCGGGUUGUAAAAAUCUUUUCUAUGGGAAGAAAAUGACAGUACCAUAGGAAUAAGGACCGGCUAAUUACGUGCCAGCAGCCGCGGUAAUACGUAAGGUCCGAGCGUUGUCCGGAAUCAUUGGGCGUAAAGGGUACGUAGGCGGGUAAGCAAGUUAGAAGUGAAAUCCUGUGGCGUAACUACAGUAAGCUUUUAAAACUGCUCAUCUUGAGAUAUGGAAAGGAAAGUGGAAUUCCUAGUGUAGCGGUGAAAUGCGUAGAUAUUAGGAGGAAUACCGGUGGCGAAGGCGACUUUCUGGCCAUAAUCUGACGCUGAGGUACGAAAGCGUGGGUAGCAAACAGG
This 402-nucleotide ribosomal RNA is filed under the name Verrucomicrobiota bacterium. RNAcentral's name for it is "Verrucomicrobia bacterium partial 16S ribosomal RNA". It matches the Rfam family "Bacterial small subunit ribosomal RNA", at positions 355 to 776 of the family's 1533-position model. The record is from RNAcentral. Lineage: Bacteria; Pseudomonadati; Verrucomicrobiota.